GACGAACGCUGGCGGCGUGCUUAACACAUGCAAGUCGAACGGAAAGGCUCCAGCUUGCUGGAGUGCUCGAGUGGCGAACGGGUGAGUAACACGUGGGCAAUCUGCCCUGCACUCUGGGAUAAGCCUGGGAAACUGGGUCUAAUACCGGAUAGGACCUUUCUCCUCAUGGGGUUUGGUGGAAAGUUUUUCGGUGCAGGAUGAGCCCGCGGCCUAUCAGCUUGUUGGUGGGGUAAUGGCCUACCAAGGCGACGACGGGUAGCCGGCCUGAGAGGGUGAUCGGCCACAUUGGGACUGAGAUACGGCCCAGACUCCUACGGGAGGCAGCAGUGGGGAAUAUUGCACAAUGGGCGAAAGCCUGAUGCAGCGACGCCGCGUGCGGGAUGACGGCCUUCGGGUUGUAAACCUCUUUCAGUAGGGACGAAGCGCAAGUGACGGUACCUGCAGAAGAAGCACCGGCUAACUACGUG
This 467-nucleotide ribosomal RNA is filed under the name uncultured bacterium. RNAcentral describes it as "partial 16S ribosomal RNA". It matches the Rfam family "Bacterial small subunit ribosomal RNA", at positions 28 to 507 of the family's 1533-position model. The record is from RNAcentral.